RNAcentral lists this long non-coding RNA (638 nucleotides) under Calidris pugnax (ruff). Its description in RNAcentral is "lncRNA (ENSCPUG00000011692.1)". The record is from RNAcentral. Lineage: Eukaryota; Metazoa; Chordata; Aves; Charadriiformes; Scolopacidae.
AUGGCUAAUUUCUCUUGUAUGACUACAGGUGGCAGUGUAGAAGCCAGGAACAAAAAUUGGCAGAAAUUAUAUUCUGUGUACGAGAAAAUGAAGAGUGUACUCAUGACUAAGCACAGGAACCUGGAAAACCACAGGAUUCCUGGGAAGCCGUGGAGGAUGGGACAAACUCAGAGCUGGAGCUUGUGGAUUUUUUAGAACUCAUGAGUGGGAAAUUAUCCUGGCUUUAGUCAGGUGAUCGCUGAUGACUAGUCAGCCCACCAAGAAGGGAGUUCAGCACACAGGUAAGAGAGAAGCCGUGUCCUCUUCCAUGCAACUGGGGGAUGCGGGGUGGGGAGGUAAACAGCCCUAACAUUGUUUGCAUAGUUUAAAAAAAAAAAAAAAUACUCCUGACUUGCUUGGGUGCAUAACACUGUGAUUGUGUCUUAAAAUGCUGCUACUUUUGCUAUUCAGUCUUUUUCUUGCAUUUUUGUUUUUUAUUGUGUUUUGGUUUUUUUUUUUUUUCUUUUCUUUAAAUCUGUCUUUAAUUAGAAGCUUUAUUGGAAAAAAAAGACCAAUUGUGUGCUGCUAAAUAUAGUCCUGGGUAUUGCAUGAAUGUUGCAUUCUGCUACUUUUUGAAUAAAAUAACUUUCCAUAAUGCA